GGAUCCAGACUUUGAUUCUGGCUCAGGAUGAACGCUAGCUACAGGCUUAACACAUGCAAGUCGAGGGGCAGCGGGAUUGAAGCUUGCUUCAAUUGCCGGCGACCGGCGCACGGGUGAGUAACGCGUAUCCAACCUUCCGUACACUCAGGGAUAGCCUUUCGAAAGAAAGAUUAAUACCUGAUAGUAUCUUAAGCACACAUGUAAUUAAGAUUAAAGAUUUAUCGGUGUACGAUGGGGAUGCGUUCCAUUAGGUAGUAGGCGGGGUAACGGCCCACCUAGCCAACGAUGGAUAGGGGUUCUGAGAGGAAGGUCCCCCACAUUGGAACUGAGACACGGUCCAAACUCCUACGGGAGGCAGCAGUGAGGAAUAUUGGUCAAUGGACGAGAGUCUGAACCAGCCAAGUAGCGUGAAGGAUGAAGGUCCUACGGAUUGUAAACUUCUUUUAUAAGGGAAUAAACCCUCCCACGUGUGGGAGCUUGUAUGUACCUUAUGAAUAAGCAUCGGCUAACUCCGUGCCAGCAGCCGCGGUAAUACGGAGGAUGCGAGCGUUAUCCGGAUUUAUUGGGUUUAAAGGGAGCGCAGACGGGUCGUUAAGUCAGCUGUGAAAGUUUGGGGCUCAACCUUAAAAUUGCAGUUGAUACUGGCGUCCUUGAGUGCGGUUGAGGUGUGCGGAAUUCGUGGUGUAGCGGUGAAAUGCUUAGAUAUCACGAAGAACUCCGAUUGCGAAGGCAGCACACUAAUCCGUAACUGACGUUCAUGCUCGAGAGUGUGGGUAUCAAACAGGAUUAGAUACCCUGGUAGUCCACACGGUAAACGAUGGAUACUCGCUGUUGGCGAUAUACUGUCAGCGGCUUAGCGAAAGCGUUAAGUAUCCCACCUGGGGAGUACGCCGGCAACGGUGCAACUCAAAGGAAUUGACGG
Molecule: ribosomal RNA, 922 nt
Filed under: uncultured Bacteroidota bacterium
Lineage: Bacteria; Pseudomonadati; Bacteroidota
Description: bacterial SSU rRNA
Rfam family: Bacterial small subunit ribosomal RNA
Source: RNAcentral